Molecule: long non-coding RNA, 943 nt
Organism: Girardinichthys multiradiatus
Lineage: Eukaryota; Metazoa; Chordata; Actinopteri; Cyprinodontiformes; Goodeidae
Exons: 2
Source: RefSeq, a predicted model, not a curated record
ACUGGGCUGUUUAUGUGAAAAAACCACAUGAGGUUACUGCAUCUUCAGAGUACACAUGUUUGUCUGUUUCGUAAUUGUUUACUAAUGAACAAAUGAUAAAAGGUAAAGUUUGACUCAAACUAACUCAAAGGUGCCGGCUUUUGGCCUUUGGACCAGGCAAACUUUGAUUGGUUGGGUGCUGCAAGGGUUGUUUCUAGUUCUGUCAACAAAAUCUUAUGUGCUUAUUUUAUUACACCUACGCAACCUAAAAAGAGAACUGUGAAAAGUGCUGUGAAAAAAAAAGGUAUUUGCCCCUUACAGAUUUCUUCAGUUUUUACCUUUUGGUCACACGAAAAUGUUUCAGGUCAUCAAGCAAAUUUUAAAAUCAGGCAAAGAUAACCCGACUAAAUAGAAAACUCCGUUUUUAAAUGUGGAUUUCAAUUCUUAAGGGAUAAAGCUAUCAAACCAACGUGACAAUAUGUGAAAAAGUAAUUGCUUUGUUGGGAUCUGGGAGCCUGUCUGUUUUUUUGCUUGCUGCUAACCUUAUUCGUCCAGCAGAGGGUGUCGAAGCUACAGGAGGAACGUGGACAGGUGUUUUCCAUCUUCUGAUUGCUGUGAACGCUACUUAAGCCGUGGCUGCCUGCUACUCGUCGCCUGAUUGUUGAGCCUAUGUGGAAACUGUAACCUGUGUGUGCGACGAUCCUAUCAUCGUUCCUCUAGCGCUUGGAGCCUUUUGGAUUACCUGUCUGGAUUCUGCAUACACUCCAGGACCGAGCAUUCUUCAUCUUCUACUGGACCUAUGCUACACUACGAUAAGGGUACUCCUCCUGCAGACCUGUUCACCCUCCACUCACUUCCCACGGAGAGUACGAGUGCUGUGACUUUUCCCCGCACAGUUUGAGAGACCAGACUCCUGUCACUUCCUUGUGGGAUUUAGGAAAUAAUAAACUUCUUUUCACCGUGA